This 779-nucleotide ribosomal RNA is filed under the name Mucor sp. Its description in RNAcentral is "partial large subunit ribosomal RNA". It matches the Rfam family "Eukaryotic large subunit ribosomal RNA", at positions 78 to 769 of the family's 3401-position model. Lineage: Eukaryota; Fungi; Mucoromycota; Mucoromycetes; Mucorales; Mucoraceae. The record is from RNAcentral.
CCCUAGUAACGGCGAGUGAAGAGGAAAGAGCUCAAAGUUGGAACCUGUUUGGCUUAGCUAAACCGGAUUGUAAACUGUAGAAACGUUUUCCUGGCACGCCAGAUAAAUAAGUCCUUUGGAACAGGGCAUCAUAGAGGGUGAGAAUCCCGUCUUUGGUCUGAGCUGUUGUCUUUUGUGAUACGUUUUCAAAGAGUCAGGUUGUUUGGGAAUGCAGCCUAAAUUGGGUGGUAAAUCUCACCUAAAGCUAAAUAUUUGCGAGAGACCGAUAGCGAACAAGUACCGUGAGGGAAAGAUGAAAAGAACUUUGAAAAGAGAGUUAAACAGUAUGUGAAAUUGUUAAAAGGGAACCGUUUGGAGCCAGACUGGCUUGAUCGUAAUCAAUCUAGGUUUCGACCUGGAUGCACUUGCGGUCUAUGCCUGCCAACGACAGUUCUUUCUGAAGGAUAAAACUAGGAGGAAUGUGGCCCCUCGGGGUGUUAUAGCCUCUUAGAUAAUACUUUGGAUGGGACUGAGGAACGCAGUGAAUGCUUAUGGCGAAAUUGCUAGGCGCUUUUGUUGAUAGAUGUUAGAAUUUCUACUUCGGGUAGUGCUGAUGUCUAAAGGUAAAACUCGUUUGGUUAAUUUUCUAUUCACUUAGGUUGUUGGCUUAAUGACUCUAAAUGACCCGUCUUGAAACACGGACCAAGGAGUCCACCAUUAGUGCGAGUAUUUGGGUGCCAAACCCAUAUGCGUAAGGAAACUGAUUGAUACGAAACCGCAAGGUGGCAGUAUCACCCGGC